UACGGGGGGGGCAAGCGUUGUUCGGAAUUACUGGGCGUAAAGGGCGCGUAGGCGGCCUGCUAAGUCGGAUGUGAAAUCCCUCGGCUCAACCGAGGAACUGCAUCCGAUACUGGCGGGCUUGAAUCCGGGAGAGGGAUGUGGAAUUCCAGGUGUAGCGGUGAAAUGCGUAGAUAUUCGGAAGAACACCAGUGGCGAAGGCGGCCAACUGGUCCGGCACUGACGCUGAGGUGCGAAAGCGUGGGGAGCAAACGGG
RNAcentral lists this ribosomal RNA (253 nucleotides) under uncultured bacterium. RNAcentral describes it as "partial 16S ribosomal RNA". It matches the Rfam family "Bacterial small subunit ribosomal RNA", at positions 524 to 776 of the family's 1533-position model. The record is from RNAcentral.